AGAAGCUCACCGUAGGGCGUAAACCUCCUUUCUCUAGGUGGGACGAGUUUCUUUUUUCUUUUGUCGCCGAUUUCAGUUUAGCGUUUACAUAACUCUACAACUCUCAUUAUGAUUUUAUGAAACAGAGAGCAACGUGGAAGAAAGAGCAGUGCUUUCAGUUUUCUGAGUGAAAGUCCUUGGUUAAAGGAAACAAAAAGAGCAGGAAAAUCCUUACUGUUGAUUGCUUAAUACAAAUUUGAUUUCAAAAUCUUUCACUUUUUUGAAACCCUUUUCCACUGCCAACAAUUAAGCCUCAACAAGUUUCUGACUUGGUCUUUCCCUUUCCAUUCUGAAUGCCAAUUUCAAUUCUCUGUUAUUUCACGUUAUCGCGUUGGAGGAACUCAUAAUGGCGUCAAAGCUACUUAAAAUUGGUAUGCACGAGGCCAAAAACUAGUUGGAAGUCUCUCUAAGGCAAGCUUUUGAGGAGCUUAAACCUAAACUAAGACCCUUCUUUUCCCUGGCCAUCCCAAGCGUUCAAGAAUACUUACAGCUUAAACGUGCCAUUCUUUACGGGCUUUUGACUGAACCCCAGCUGGCCAAAACCCAUGUUAAGCAUCUACAUGCCAUUGUUACUGAUGGAUAUGCAUUUUUUAUUCAUUUGAUGGUCAAAAUCGUUAAUGAUUUGUAUGCUAAGCUUGUUGAUUCAGUAAAGGUUCAGUUGAUUUGGAUCGUUAAAGAAAUGGUCGGUGUUUUAGGAGUUGGUUUUGGUGGCUUGUUGGUGUCUUUGUUGAGGCAAAUUAUCGGUGGGGAUUUUAGUGAUAGGAAUUUGUGGUUGUGUUUCGAGUUGGUGAACCUUUUCCUGAGUAAAUGGGAUUGUUUAGUAGAAGAAGAGCCAUUGGUUUUAACUAGUGCACUGUAUGCAUAUCUUAGGUUGUUAGCUGAUCAUUGUAGGUUAUCAAGCAAUGUGAAGCUAGAGUCUCUGAAACUACUAGAGAUUAAAUUUUGUGUGAAAAUGUUGAGAGAGCAAUUUCAUUUGUGUAUGAAGAUUGGGAGGGACCUUAUUAGAUUACUGCAAGAUUUGGUUCAUGUCCCUGUGUUUCGAGCUUUAUGGAAGGAUUUGGUACUGAACCCAGGUGAGUUUAGGACAGCAGGAUUUUCAGAUGUUUCUCAACUGUACUGCUCCAGGACAUCAAGCCGGUAUUUUUUGCUCCGGAUAACACCUGACAUGGAAACCCGGUUGAGGUUUUUGCUUACGCACGUGAAGUUUGGGAGUCAAAAGCGGUACCAAUUAUGGUUUGCAAAGAAGUUUCUUUUGGGACCAGAGAAAGAGACUCUUAUAGUGGACAUUGUUAGAUUUAUAUGUUGUGCACACCAUCCAUCCAAUGAAACUAUCCAGUCAGACAUCAUACCAAGAUGGACUGUUAUAGGAUGGCUAUUGAAAACUUGUAGAAAAAAUUAUGUUCAAGCCAAUGUGAAGUUGGCCUUAUUUUAUGACUGGCUUUUCUUUGAUGAAAGAAUUGAUAAUAUAAUGAAUAUCGAGCCAGGAAUGCUAUUAAUGGUAUAUUCAAUACCCAAAUAUAUUGACAUGACUCACUCUCUUCUUGAGUUUUUGUUGCUGCUUGUGGAAAAUUAUGAUGUGCAUCGUACACAUGUUAUUGUUAGGGGUCUGUCAUCAGCUUUCAAUUCACUAGUUCAAAAAGGAGUGGUUCGCUCGCUGGAUGUUUUGACAUCAUGUGAUGCACUUUCUCCUUUUUUGAAAGAGAGACUUGGGAGGUUAUUGUCAAGUUUGAAAGUGGGUGUCCUUAACAAGAUACAGCUUGCCCAUCGUCCUCAUGACUUUGUACCGCCCUUGAGUUUGCAAAAUCUGUCCCGUCUGAAAAGUCCAAUGCCAACACUGGAACAACCUCCUGCAGAUGAGGUGGAAGUUAGACUUAAUACUGAACAUGCUAAUACUUCUUUUACUUUUUCUGACAGCUUGGUUACUACUUCUUGCCCAUCCAUUAGCACCAGUGAAAGUCAAAUUGAUGCUAUUGAGAAUUUGUUACAAAACCUUGCAGAUGGUAUAAAGAAGUCAAGUGCACUGGGUCUUCAGAUUUUGGAAGCAAUACUUCUGUCACUUGUGAAUUUGGAUGAUCAAGCACCAACACUUGUUUCAAUUUCUCCUGAAAUGUUAUGUUCGAGAAUAGCAGAUCAAUUUGAAUCAAUUGACUGCAAAUUAUUUUCUUCACCUGAUAACAUUCCUAGUGCUUCUUGUUCUGGCUAUGAAAUUAGGUCUGCGACAGCCUUAUUGACUCGUACCUUCAUAUUGUCACAGCAUCAGAGGAUGCAAGGAAUGCUUUUAUUCUGGUCAAAGAAUGAUUUUCCUGUAGGAGUACACUUAUUGUCUUAUGCAUCACAGCUAGCUUAUGAAGCACAUGCAGCAGGUUACUUGGGAAAAGCAAGUGCAAUAGUUGACAACAAUUUUGCUAAGUUAUGUAAGUCAGACUUCCCAUUAUUGAAGUUUCACAUUGAUGGAUAUUUUUCUUUGCUUAAUGGAAGAAUAGAACAUUCUCUUGAAGGCACUGUUCCUACUUCUGAAACGGAUAAGUUUAUUACCAAGUUGGUGGAAAAUGCUUUUGCUGCUUACAAAUGUUUUCUUGAGUGCUCUAGAACUGCUUUACACAAAUUAGAUGAUAUAUCUUUGUCCAAGCUCCUUAUAUGUGACAUAGUUUCAUGUUUAGUGUGGGAAAGAAAAAAAGCAAAGUUCUUAUUCUGCAGCAUCUUCCAUCACUUUGCUGAUCUAUGCAUUGGUGAGGAAGAAAUUAUAAGGUUACUUGUGAGUCAGUUGGAUCAUGCUGAUCUUGUUGAUAUACAGUUUGAAAUUGGAUUGAAGAAAUUCUCUAUUUUCGGGGAGAACACUGAGACCAUUUUUGUCUUAGUGAAGAAUUCACUUAGCUGGGAUUCUUUGGAGCAGCAUAAGUUUUGGGGCUUGAUUAGAUCAGAGCUUGCCAUUUCCAAGGUUCAGGUGGAAAAGAUAAUUUUGCAAUUUCUUUCCUGUGCUGAUCUGGAUGCUAAUAUUAGUGCCAUUGCAGUUGCAGGCCUUCUUACGUUGUGCAGUAGUUGUGCACCCACACCUGAGCUUGUUGGGACAAUCAUGAUACUGCCUGAUAAUGUUUUCCUGGACUUUGCUGCUACAUCUUUGGCUACAUGGAUUAAGUCCAAUCCCUCAAUGCUAUUUGACAGUUUGGUGAAAUUUUCAGAGAAACUUGACAAGACUGGUGAUGUCUCUGCUGGGAUUACAAUUAAUCGUUCUGCAGUUCUAUGGUUAUUGAAUUAUUUUACCACACAAGGGUUGAAUGCCUCUGAUAUGUUGAGCAAUUUAUCCUCAAAUAUUCAAGGUGGAUAAGUGACACCAUCAUGGUGGAAUGGGAAUAUUAAAUAAUGGUUCAUUCAUCAUAUGGCAAAGAGCUGAUCCUACAACCUAUUUGAUCUGGUUCCAUGAAAUUCCUUUAUCUGUUGCUUAAUGGGCUUAUGUUAUCCUUGCUCAUUAUUUUGUUUAUUGGGAAGGCGGCUGUGGCUUAGACCGAGACAAAUCAGGAUAAGCUUACGAUAUUGUGACAGCAAUUCUGAUUUUCCUACAGAAAUCACCUGUUUAUGAUGGGCUUUACCGAGGAUGGCAUGAUAUGCAAUGAUGAUUGCAAUGCGUGUUUCUACACUCUCUUGAUUUUUAAGGAUAUCUGCUGCUGUAUUCAAGUGAGAAGAUGAAUACAAGGAUAUUCACUUUUGCCGUAUUCACUGCUAGCCAUGAAUUCAACGCCAAAUCUCUCAAGCAUUUCAUAUUAUAGUCAAAUGUGAAAUGGCCAACACCCUCUUGCUGAAUCUAUCCAAGGCAUGUGAUGAGAACUCAGUUUUUGAUCUUCAACAAGUGUUAGAAAAGUUCACUUUCAGUACCAUAGUCAAAUCUGGUCACUAUCAGAACUUCUGUCACCAGCUUUUGAACCAGCACCUUCUACAACACCAUGCGGUGAGGAAAUGGAGCAAUGACUGAGGUUGGAAAUGAGCUCCUGUCAGUGUCUGUUUCAUGGUCAAGUCCAUUUAGUCAUGGGAUUGAUCCUCGGAGGGUAGUUGCCAGGAUCCCAGGAGUGGCUGUCCUGAGGAUUGUUAGUGACAUGUCAGCUAUGAAGAGGUACUAUGAACAGCAGCAGUCCAUAACUGAGCUUAGAGCCAUAGCAUUUGCGGAGGCUCAGUUGGGGGAGCCACUGAGGGAGGAUGGUCCAAUUCUUGGAAUGGAAUUUGAUCCCCUGCCACUAGAUGCUCUUUGUGCACCUGGGUAAGUUUGAUUCUCAUAUGCUAUCAUUUGGUCCUUUCCCUUUUUUUUAUGAUAGUUCAUAGAAAUGGAAAUCCUUUUUGAAAGUCUGGAAACUUGCUAUAAUUGACAGCCUUUGUUAGGACAAUAUCAUAUGGAUAAUAGCAGUCAGGAUUAUUUAUGAUAUAUAUUUGGAUCAGGAACAUUGAUGCAUGUCUUUGUUAAUCAUUUAAAAAGUUGUUCUUUGUCAAUGAGAUGGAUUGGAUGAAUCUAUGAAACUUAAGUGUCAAUGAGAGAUGACAUUGGUGCUUCUUUAUAUGGCCUAAACUAUAAUGUUAACCGAGACGAGAUGUUUUCUGUGGUAGGUUACCCAUUCCUUGCUAUUUGGAUUACCAAAUGAAGAGAGCUUGAGCGUAAAGAAUUUUGCUGGAAUAUGGAAUACUGAUGCCAGUGACUCUGAAUUAUGCAGGGAUGUCACUGUUCAAAAAUUAAAAUCCACGGGUGAUGAGUUUCUUUGGGCUACUUAGCAAGCAGUUUUAUAACAAGAUUUUCAA
This 4818-nucleotide unclassified non-coding RNA is filed under the name Hevea brasiliensis (rubber tree). Lineage: Eukaryota; Viridiplantae; Streptophyta; Magnoliopsida; Malpighiales; Euphorbiaceae. The record is from RNAcentral.